AGUGAACGCUGGCGGUAGGCCUAACACAUGCAAGUCGAACGGCAGCACAGUAAGAGCUUGCUCUUACGGGUGGCGAGUGGCGGACGGGUGAGGAAUACAUCGGAAUCUACUUUUUCGUGGGGGAUAACGUAGGGAAACUUACGCUAAUACCGCAUACGACCUACGGGUGAAAGCAGGGGAUCUUCGGACCUUGCGCGAUUGAAUGAGCCGAUGUCGGAUUAGCUAGUUGGCGGGGUAAAGGCCCACCAAGGCGACGAUCCGUAGCUGGUCUGAGAGGAUGAUCAGCCACACUGGAACUGAGACACGGUCCAGACUCCUACGGGAGGCAGCAGUGGGGAAUAUUGGACAAUGGGUGCAAGCCUGAUCCAGCCAUACCGCGUGGGUGAAGAAGGCCUUCGGGUUGUAAAGCCCUUUUGUUGGGAAAGAAAGGCAGCAGGUUAAUACCCCGCUGUUCUGACGGUACCCAAAGAAUAAGCACCGGCUAACUUCGUG
RNAcentral lists this ribosomal RNA (492 nucleotides) under uncultured bacterium. Its description in RNAcentral is "partial 16S ribosomal RNA". It matches the Rfam family "Bacterial small subunit ribosomal RNA", at positions 29 to 507 of the family's 1533-position model. The record is from RNAcentral.